UGAAGGUUGAGACAAGAGUUACUAACCACUUGCCUCCCUUGACUAUUCAAUGAUGUCUUACAUAUACUCGCCCCAAGGCAGGUGGUACUUCGUCUACCUCCGGCGAGAACUCAGCACAAGCCACCCUUACACUGGAUUAAGAACAUAUAGAGCGUGUGCAUAUAUAUAGUCUAGUCGGGAAAUAAGUGGCGUAUAAAGCUUGAAAAGUGAGGGAACUGUCCGCAUAUGAGAUAGGAAAAUGAUGCUGCGCCGGGUGCUACCAAACGGUGGCAUCAUAGGGACGCAAAGCCAUGUGAUCGUUGGGGCAGAUCAGGUUCGAGGGUAGGCAUGCGCGAGGGUGCUACUGUGACCUAACAGGACUGUGCUUGAGUAUAUAUCGUUCCCUUCCUGAGGGCGUAGCUGUUGGAGAUGAAGGCAUAGCUAUUGGAGAAUCUUUUCUUGAUGAACUAGCAAUGUCAAGAGAUGGUUUGGCAGAUACCGUUGCUAUUGUAGAUUGUUGAUUAUUGUUUCCAUCCCUUCAGAGUUAUUUUUAUCUCCAACAAUGCAUAUCUUUCGUCUUAUUAGACUUUGCUAGUUACCGGAGUUAA
Molecule: long non-coding RNA, 587 nt
Organism: Triticum dicoccoides
Lineage: Eukaryota; Viridiplantae; Streptophyta; Magnoliopsida; Poales; Poaceae
Exons: 2
Source: RefSeq, a predicted model, not a curated record